RNAcentral lists this ribosomal RNA (433 nucleotides) under uncultured bacterium. Its description in RNAcentral is "partial 16S ribosomal RNA". It matches the Rfam family "Bacterial small subunit ribosomal RNA", at positions 29 to 507 of the family's 1533-position model. The record is from RNAcentral.
AGCGAACGCUGGCGGCAGGCCUAACACAUGCAAGUCGAACGAACUCUUCGGAGUUAGUGGCGGACGGGUGAGUAACACGUGGGAACGUGCCUUUUGGUUCGGAAUAACUCAGGGAAACUUGUGCUAAUACCGAAUGUGCCCUUCGGGGGAAAGAUUUAUCGCCAUUAGAGCGGCCCGCGUCUGAUUAGCUAGUUGGUGAGGUAACGGCUCACCAAGGCGACGACCAGUAGCUGGUCUGAGAGGAUGACCAGCCACACUGGGACUGAGACACGGCCCAGACUCCUACGGGAGGCAGCAGUGGGGAAUCUUGCGCAAUGGGCGAAAGCCUGACGCAGCCAUGCCGCGUGAAUGAUGAAGGUCUUAGGAUUGUAAAAUUCUUUCACCGGGGACGAUAAUGACGGUACCCGGAGAAGAAGCCCCGGCUAACUUCGUG